GCGGGUGUGGCGGAACUGGCAGACGCGCAGGACUUAGGAUCCUGUGGGGAUAACCCGUGAGGGUUCGACUCCCUCCACCCGCACCA
RNAcentral lists this transfer RNA (86 nucleotides) under Pampinifervens diazotrophicum. Its description in RNAcentral is "Hydrogenobacter sp. T-2 tRNA-Leu". It matches the Rfam family "tRNA". Rfam says of the family: Transfer RNA (tRNA) molecules are approximately 80 nucleotides in length. Their secondary structure includes four short double-helical elements and three loops (D, anti-codon, and T loops). RNAcentral also lists the same sequence under 2 other names. The record is from RNAcentral. Lineage: Bacteria; Pseudomonadati; Aquificota; Aquificia; Aquificales; Aquificaceae.